RNAcentral lists this long non-coding RNA (1364 nucleotides) under Homo sapiens (human). Its description in RNAcentral is "HSALNT0322715". The record is from RNAcentral. Lineage: Eukaryota; Metazoa; Chordata; Mammalia; Primates; Hominidae.
CUCUUAUCUUCCUCUUGCAUUUAUCAGAAGUGCUGAACCCUUGACGUGCCUUAUCUUAUUUGCUCCUCACAACAAAUCUUAUGAGAUGCAUCACUACCAGAAGUUGUCCAGAAAGAACUGUGACCGUAUGUUUUAAUUAAAUAAUUUUUCAUCCAGUUUUUUUCUUUGCAUAUAAAGAAACAGAAUCCUGACAUCUGAUUGAAUUAUUGGCUCUCCUGAUGGUUGCACGAUGGCUGCAGCAGUUCCAGAUGUCCCAUCGAGACACAAAAAGAUCCCAGAUGGAAGAUGCCAUCUCCUCCUAUGUGCCUCUUUUUAAGAGUAAGAAAAGAGCCAAACUCUAAAAUAUUUGAAGAGAUUUAUUCUGAGUCAAAUGUGAGGACCAUGACCUGUGACACAGACCCAGGAGGUUCUGAGAGUAGGUUCCCAAGGUUACACAGGAGUGAGGAGGACCACCAAACCAAACUAAGACUCGGAGGAAAAAAAAAAAAGAAAAAGAAGAAAAUGUCUGCUAGGUGCCAUGCCACUCAAACAGCCAAUGGAAAGGCCCACGUGGCGAGAGCUAAGGCUUCCUGCCAACAGGCAAGUGAGGAAGCCCAGUCAGCUGCCUGCAGUCCUGACCCAUGAAGAGCCUGACUGAAAGUGAAUGAGCAACCCUGAGCUAGGACAACCCAGCAAGGCCCAUCCUGAAUUCCUGCCCACAAAAACUCUGAGACAGUAAAUGUUCGUUGUUUUAAACCACAAAGUUUUGAAGUAAUAGAUUAAUUAGGUAACCAAUUGGGACUGCAGUAUUCCUUCAGGGAACUUGAAUAGUCAUUCUGUAUAUGGAAAUUGUACACAUCUUAAAAUUGCUGGACUAAAGUGAGAAGAGACUGUCUUGAGUCAACUGGAUAAAGUGGAAAAAAAAUUAAUUUGGAAAUCAAUAGAAUUCUGGCCUUGGCUUUGUCACUAAGAAACACUUAUAAGUAAUUUCACUUCUCUUGAAAUUAUGAUCAUUAUCUAUAACAUAAAGGAACUGAGCUAAAUGUUAUCUGAUGCCUCUUUAGGCUCUCAAACUCCAUAGAUUUAUGACAUGCUUGAAAUUCACUUUGUUUCACCCUAAUUCAGAGCUUUGUUUCACUAGCUCUAGAAUUAGAUGCCUUGGGUUUAAAUUGCAAUUCAGUCACUUAUUUAAAUAAUUGUACUUGGAUGAGUGAUGUUGCCAUUUUAAGCCUCAGUUUCCCCAUAGAUUCAUUGAGAAGAUCAAAUAAGAUGAUGCAGAUAAAGCUCUUAGUUUGUGGGGACACUUAGUAAGUGCUUAAUAAAUACAGGCAGUUGUGUUAUCUAUGUUGUAGCAGCACAUUUUGUAAAAUAAAACAAAGUUGAAA